Molecule: long non-coding RNA, 237 nt
Filed under: Mytilus galloprovincialis (Mediterranean mussel)
Lineage: Eukaryota; Metazoa; Mollusca; Bivalvia; Mytilida; Mytilidae
Source: RNAcentral
CUUAACAAUUUACGGUCAUCUUUUAACCAAUUACGGUCAGCCUUGUUAUGAAUCGCUAAUCCUUUUACGGUCAUCUCGAUUACGAUUUGCGGUCAUCCUAGCGAAUUUUUCAAAUCCAAAUUCCCGUUUUAUACACGUUCCUCGGUAGAGAUUUGUGACUUCCGUGUGAAUCUUUUAUAAAUUUACAUCGUAUCAAAGUAUGCUUUGUAAAGAAAAUGAUGUAGAAACACCUUAACA